RNAcentral lists this ribosomal RNA (254 nucleotides) under uncultured bacterium. RNAcentral's name for it is "partial 16S ribosomal RNA". It matches the Rfam family "Bacterial small subunit ribosomal RNA", at positions 524 to 776 of the family's 1533-position model. The record is from RNAcentral.
UACGGAGGGGGCUAGCGUUGUUCGGAAUUACUGGGCGUAAAGCGCACGUAGGCGGACCGGACAGUCAGAGGUGAAAUCCCAGGGCUCAACCUUGGAACUGCCUUUGAAACUAUCGGUCUGGAGUUCGAGAGAGGUGAGUGGAAUUCCGAGUGUAGAGGUGAAAUUCGAUAGAUAUUCGGAGGAACACCAGUGGCGAAGGCGGCUCACUGGCUCGAUACUGACGCUGAGGUGCGAAAGCGUGGGGAGCAAACAGG